GACGAACGCUGGCGGCGUGCCUAAUACAUGCAAGUCGAACGCUGAAGGAGGAGCUUGCUCUUCUGGAUGAGUUGCGAACGGGUGAGUAACGCGUAGGUAACCUGCCUGGUAGCGGGGGAUAACUAUUGGAAACGAUAGCUAAUACCGCAUAAGAGUAGAUGUUGCAUGACAUUUGCUUAAAAGGUGCAAUUGCAUCACUACCAGAUGGACCUGCGUUGUAUUAGCUAGUUGGUGGGGUAACGGCUCACCAAGGCGACGAUACAUAGCCGACCUGGGAGGGUGAUCGGCCACACUGGGACUGAGACACGGCCCAGAAUCCUACGGGAGGCAGCAGUAGGGAAUCUUCGGCAAUGGACGGAAGUCUGACCGAGCAACGCCGCGUGAGUGAAGAAGGUUUUCGGAUCGUAAAGCUCUGUUGUAAGAGAAGAACGAGUGUGAGAGUGGAAAGUUCACACUGUGACGGUAUCUUACCAGAAAGGGACGGCUAACUACGUG
This 495-nucleotide ribosomal RNA is filed under the name uncultured bacterium. RNAcentral describes it as "partial 16S ribosomal RNA". It matches the Rfam family "Bacterial small subunit ribosomal RNA", at positions 28 to 507 of the family's 1533-position model. The record is from RNAcentral.